AUGCAAGCAGAGAGGAGUGGCAAAGCGGGUGUCACCUCAGGUGGGCUUUAUUGCGACAUGAGUGGAUCCUCCCGGAGGCAGGAAGUCACAGUGAUGCUAUAUUGGUUAAGUAGAUAAGAUAGAUAAGUGCUUUCUUAAGGCUGCCGGCAUGUGAUUACGCUUACGAGUGGAAACAGUGUGCGAGUUGUCCAUGUACAGUAAGUCCCUGGCCAGACACGAAAGGAGGGGGAUGGCAGAAAUUAUAGACCAGUGAUUGCAAACCACUGUUUGGCGGCACAUCGGCGAGCUGUCAGAGAUCAUCAGGUCUAAUGGAAUUUUAUUGGCAUUUGACACAGUGGGGCGUUAAGUGGGAUGUGGUUUCAGCGCAUUCAGCAGAACGAACAGCUUGCUUUUUCACCAUGUUGAAGCCCAUUUUAUAUCCUUUUUAAAUUAUUCAAAUUUGGCACGGUUGUGAACUGCACUCUUCUCUGUGGUGUGUUGAAUUUACAAAUCAUAUUUUCGCUUUACAUGGACUUUAAAUGCACAUCCACAAAACUGUGUAUCCAGUUGUCUUCAUUCAUAUUACAGAACAAGUCAUGGCACGUACACACGAUUUACAUUUGUGAGUAAAGCAAAACAUAUUUUUGUGAUAUUUUUGUAUGGUGGUGUGCCGUGAAAUUUUUCUCAUGCCUCGAGUGCGUCAGGAAACACUUUAGUACUCAGAACCAUGCAGACAUUACAAUGUAACACAACUAGAAUGACUUCCAUUCACUUCACUUCUUGGCAGUGAGAUUUCAGUUGACUGAUAAAGUUUAACGAUAGUGACAUAGGAGUUUUGUUUGCACGCCCAGGAAACACCCAUUUUCUUUAUCUUGGCAUGCCACUAAACCUUCUCUGGAACUUGUGCCUCCACAAUAAAUCCAUUAAAACACCUGCAUAUAUUGUUCACUCUUAAAAUUUGACUUCAUUUUCCUCCUUUCAUCACAUUCACAAGUAACAUGUUUUCUCUUGCAUAGUAAAUAAUACUGGCAACAUUUUCAUGUCUGCUGUGGUAUAUAAAAGGUUCAUCUCGUGAGAAAUGACACUGAUGGCACAAUUUAAUUUAAUAACUUAACCCUUCCAGGGACAGCGGUUACCACAGUGUGCAGCAUAUCAUGUUCUCAGGUUACAGGGUGCAUUAAAGGGUUAAUACUGUCAGUUGUCUAGUAUUUUUCUAUACCAGACCACACAUGUACCAUAGUAGGCUUCAUGACAGCACACAUUUUUUGCCUUCUAAAUAGUGGGACUGCAGCGUUAAGGCCUAAAGGCCAUUUGCUGGAUUUGGCCUCCGGGGAAAGAGAACACACGAGGUGUGUCAGAAACGUUCCGCAGAGUAACUACCAUGUAUUUUGUUAUUUAGAUCUAUUUUACAGCAGUAUGACCCACCCAACGCUCUUCCACAUGGCCAUAAACACUUCCUAUUAGGGAGGUGGCAAUCCAAUAUUUUUAGAAUUUAUUAUUCUAUCAAUCAUUCCCUAUGUUCUACUGUAGUAUCUGUGACUUUUGAGUGUGUCUGCCUUUCAAAGGCAGGGCCUGGCCUGGUGACAGAUGUGGGCGUAAGAAGCGAAUGAGAGAGGAGGGCAAGGUAAUUAUUUAACAG
Molecule: long non-coding RNA, 1618 nt
Organism: Hippocampus comes (tiger tail seahorse)
Lineage: Eukaryota; Metazoa; Chordata; Actinopteri; Syngnathiformes; Syngnathidae
Exons: 2
Source: RefSeq, a predicted model, not a curated record